This 471-nucleotide ribosomal RNA is filed under the name uncultured bacterium. RNAcentral's name for it is "bacterial SSU rRNA". It matches the Rfam family "Bacterial small subunit ribosomal RNA", at positions 328 to 793 of the family's 1533-position model. The record is from RNAcentral.
GCAGAGCACUCCUCGGGAGGCAGCAGUGGGGAAUAUUGCACAAUGGGCGCAAGCCUGAUGCAGCCAUGCCGCGUGUAUGAAGAAGGCCUUCGGGUUGUAAAGUACUUUCAGCAGUGAGGAAGGUGGGUAUGUUAAUAGCAUAUUCAUUUGACGUUAGCUGCAGAAGAAGCACCGGCUAACUCCGUGCCAGCAGCCGCGGUAAUACGGAGGGUGCGAGCGUUAAUCGGAAUUACUGGGCGUAAAGCGCAUGCAGGUGGUUUGUUAAGUCAGAUGUGAAAGCCCGGGGCUCAACCUCGGAAUUGCAUUUGAAACUGGCAAACUAGAGUACUGUAGAGGGGGUAGAAUUUCAGGUGUAGCGGUGAAAUGCGUAGAGAUCUGAAGGAAUACCGGUGGCGAAGGCGGCCCCCUGGACAGAUACUGACACUCAGAUGCGAAAGCGUGGGGAGCAAACAGGAUUAGAUACCCUGGUAG